RNAcentral lists this ribosomal RNA (478 nucleotides) under uncultured bacterium. RNAcentral describes it as "partial 16S ribosomal RNA". It matches the Rfam family "Bacterial small subunit ribosomal RNA", at positions 28 to 523 of the family's 1533-position model. The record is from RNAcentral.
GACGAACGCUGGCGGCGUGCUUAACACAUGCAAGUCGAACGGUAAGGCCCUUCGGGGUACACGAGUGGCGAACGGGUGAGUAACACGUGGGUGAUCUGCCCUGCACUUCGGGAUAAGCCUGGGAAACUGGGUCUAAUACCGGAUAGGACCCUGGGAUGCAUGUCCUGGGGUGGAAAGCUUUUGCGGUGUGGGAUGGGCCCGCGGCCUAUCAGCUUGUUGGUAGGGUGAUGGCCUACCAAGGCGACGACGGGUAGCCGGCCUGAGAGGGUGACCGGCCACACUGGGACUGAGAUACGGCCCAGACUCCUACGGGAGGCAGCAGUGGGGAAUAUUGCACAAUGGGCGCAAGCCUGAUGCAGCGACGCCGCGUGAGGGAUGACGGCCUUCGGGUUGUAAGCCUCUUUCAGCACCGACGAAGCGCAAGUGACGGUAGGUGCAGAAGAAGGACCGGCCAACUACGUGCCAGCAGCCGCCGUAA